GGCUGAGUUAUCGUGUCGUUCUGC
This 24-nucleotide non-coding RNA is filed under the name Arabidopsis thaliana (thale cress). Lineage: Eukaryota; Viridiplantae; Streptophyta; Magnoliopsida; Brassicales; Brassicaceae. The record is from RNAcentral.